Long non-coding RNA from Larimichthys crocea (large yellow croaker), 2103 nucleotides. RefSeq lists it as uncharacterized. The record is from RefSeq and is a predicted model, not a curated record. Lineage: Eukaryota; Metazoa; Chordata; Actinopteri; Sciaenidae. The transcript is spliced from 3 exons.
UUCUUUUUAUUUGCAGUGUUUCUUUUAUUUGCAGCGGCAUUUCUUUUUAUUUGCAGCGUUUCUUUAUGUGGCAGAGUGACUGUGUCAUCAAACUGUUGUAAGGGCUGGCAUCUACAUUCAAAGCACCGCCCUGUCAGGUGGGGCCAGAGGUAGCUCCCCGCCUUUAUAGGGACAGGUGAGGGCAAUUAAUACCUCUUUGUCUGAGGCCUGGUUGUGGUUGCUGUGGCUGUACGGGUAAGGGAGAUUGAAUGAGAAAGAUGUGUUAUAUUGCUUUAUGGGAAACCUAAUGAGGACGUUUGUAUAUUUAGUUGUGGUGUGACUGUCCUGAGGUGAUCCAGAUUGAGCACUGUGGUCCUGUGCGGAAGAGGUAUGUGUUAGUGGAUUGUAGGUUAGUUUGUCGUUGCAGUGAUUUGUGUGCACACGUGGUGGUUCCUAUUUGGGUCUGUGAUAGAAUCUCCCCGCAGUAAGUACCCUGUCCUGCCUAUUGUCGUAGCAAUUUUAUCCUCUGUAUUUCAUGUCAAGCCAUUUGCUAUUUAUAUAUUAAUAGUUUUAAUUAUUUUAAUGUUGUGAAAUAAAAUAGCUUGGACUAAUCUGGCAGUUUCUCCUUUUUGUUUUACAGGUUCGCUGCCAUAGUUCUCUUUUUAAAAUAAAUAUUCUUCGAAUUGAAUGCAUGUCUCCCGCUCUUUUUGAACCCUUUAAAACUUGUGUCCACACUCAGAUGGUUGGUAUCUAGGGCUGAUAAAGCCCUCUUCUGUCUAUUUGCCCCGCUUUGUAACCUGGGUGGUGUUACACUGAACAAUUGUGGUGAUCACGGGGCAGUGCCAUAAUCCUCAUAGAUAGGUGAGAGAGGAUCAUUUGUGUCAGGUGGCCAUGGUAAUUCACUUCUGUUGUGGAUUUUUUUUAUUUGCAGCAGCAUUUCUUUUUGUGGCAGAGUGACUGUGUCAUCAAGCUGUGAACAAUUAUGGUGGGCGGUGCCAUAAUCCUCAUAGAUAGGUGAGAGAGGAUCAUUUGUGUCAGGUGUGGCUUUCUGCUUCUGCUCAGGCUGGUGUUAGCAGUUUGGCGUGGUGGUCGCACGGUCCCUCAAGGAGCAACCUUUUUCUUUCAUACUCGCCAGCUGUCUGGAGCGUGCGUUAGCACUGUCUAUGCGCUACACGGCGUGUCCAGUGACUCCCUGUUUCGCAUCGUCAGCGGUGUCGGCUUAAUUGCCAAGGCGGGAAGGGUGGAGCGUGUCCUUCAAGCCAGUGCGUAAUUUUCCACGCAUUGCGUGGCAUUCAACUCCUAAGGAGCUGUGGUGCCGCUGGUGUGAGUGACUGGCUGGUCCCGGUGGUGGUCGUUCCCUUCACUUCCUUUUGUAUAAUAGCGCACCUGGGUGUCAUAAUUUGUGUGUAGGUGUUCACGCGUGAUGUAUUAUAAGGACUCCCUCCCCUCUCCUUGUCAGCAAGUCAUCUCUGCCGGUGAGCCCUCAGUCUCCUGCACAUUGCACUUUAGAAGCAACCCAAUCAAUGCUUAGAUAAGGGGGCUCAUUUUGUGAUAUAUUUUUUUUUUAUUAUUAAACCCAUAUUGUAUUUUAGAAAACAACCAACUUUUUGUAAUAAACUUUGUAUUUUGUGUUGGAAUCACAUCAAGUGCCGGUGUCUGUCGUACCUGUGUCCCUUGAACAUAAACUGGACUCCUUUCUGAGGGUGCAAUUCCCCCAGUGGCGUUGUCGGUCUGUAAUUAUAGCUUAAACCAGAUUACCCUCGUGCCUUGCCACAUUUUAUUUGCAGCAGCAUUUCUUUUUAGAUCCUUUUUAUCUAAGAAAGAUACCUGUUCUGCUUCCAUCUCUUGUGGAUUGCACUGUGCUUCCAUGGGGCUCAAAGAUCAAGGUAAAACACAUGAUCUUUGAAUUGUCUUAAAUAUUUUAAAUUCUAAAUGGCCAAAAAGUCCUCAGCUUCAAGAGUUAUCAGUGAGUUAGGGCUUGGAGGUAGAACAGGUCAAAUUACUGCAAAGAAACCACACAACUAAGUAAGUAUAACAAGAGAGCAUCCGCCCCAUCUAAGAAGGCUCAGUCCUUGCCACAGUGGCCCAGGGUUCAAAUCCAACCUGUGGCUCUUUCCCACAUGU